Long non-coding RNA from Cotesia glomerata, 493 nucleotides. RefSeq lists it as uncharacterized. The transcript is spliced from 3 exons. NCBI's taxonomy places the organism in Eukaryota, Metazoa, Arthropoda, Insecta, Hymenoptera, Braconidae. The record is from RefSeq and is a predicted model, not a curated record.
CGGAACUUGCUGCCAGACUCUAUCGAGUCUGUUGAUACAUGGAGUACAUGGCCAGAAGUAUCAAACACACUCGUCUCAUAAAUCUAAGAAUUCAGCGGCAUCGACAAAUCAAGCAGACGAGUCCUGGUAAUCAAAAAUUGAUGUUUCGUCCCCUAUCGAAGACUUGGAAAUUUUUAAAUCAUUUGAUGAGGAUUUGAAGAUCAAUAUCGAAAUGAGAAAUGUUGUUAAAACUAUGUUCAAUGCCUGGACUAUGAUAAAAACAUCAAAAAAAUUAUGUCAGAGUUAUUAAAAAAGGAAAUACAAAUUUUAUACAGCGGAGUUGGACGAGUAACGAAAGGUGUUGGAAAGGAAAAUUUCAGUGCUACUGAAGUUUUUUCAUUGAUUCGAGAGUUCAUCGAAAACAAAUAUUCUGACCAAAAAAAAUCAUGAAGAUUAUCAGUGUCAUAAGUACGUAUCUAUCCGGAGCUGGAGAUCGUGACGGUGGAAGAUUAAC